Molecule: transfer RNA, 88 nt
Filed under: Deltaproteobacteria bacterium
Lineage: Bacteria; Pseudomonadati; Myxococcota; Myxococcia
Description: tRNA-Leu
Rfam family: tRNA
About the family: Transfer RNA (tRNA) molecules are approximately 80 nucleotides in length.
Source: RNAcentral
GCCGGAGUGGUGGAACAGGGAGACGCGCGGGACUCAAAAUCCCGUCCUGCCUAGCAGGGUGAGGGUUCGAUUCCCUCCUCCGGCACCA